This 434-nucleotide ribosomal RNA is filed under the name uncultured Sphingobacteriales bacterium. Its description in RNAcentral is "bacterial SSU rRNA". It matches the Rfam family "Bacterial small subunit ribosomal RNA", at positions 950 to 1382 of the family's 1533-position model. The record is from RNAcentral. Lineage: Bacteria; Pseudomonadati; Bacteroidota; Sphingobacteriia; Sphingobacteriales.
UUCGAUGAUACGCGAGGAACCGUUACCUGGGCUCGAACGUAAGAUGACUGUAGGUGAAAGCUUACAUCUCUUCGGAGCAUUUUACGUAGGUGCUGCAUGGUUGUCGUCAGCUCGUGCCGUGAGGUGUCGGGUUAAGUCCCAUAACGAGCGCAACCCCUACCUUUAGUUGCCAUCAGGUUAAGCUGGGGACUCUAAAGGAACUGCCUACGCAAGUAGUGAGGAAGGCGGGGAUGACGUCAAAUCAGCACGGCCCUUACGUCCAGGGCUACACACGUGCUACAAUGGCCGAUACAGAGGGCAGCUACCUGGUGACAGGAUGCAAAUCUCCAAAGUCGGUCUCAGUUCGGAUCGGAGUCUGCAACCCGACUCCGUGAAGUUGGAUUCGCUAGUAAUCGCGCAUCAGCCAUGGCGCGGUGAAUACGUUCCCGGGCCUU